This 497-nucleotide ribosomal RNA is filed under the name uncultured bacterium. Its description in RNAcentral is "partial 16S ribosomal RNA". It matches the Rfam family "Bacterial small subunit ribosomal RNA", at positions 28 to 507 of the family's 1533-position model. The record is from RNAcentral.
GACGAACGCUGGCGGCGUGCCUAAUACAUGCAAGUUGAGCGAUGAAGAUUGGUGCUUGCACCAAUUUGAAGAGCAGCGAACGGGUGAGUAACGCGUGGGGAAUCUGCCUUUGAGCGGGGGACAACAUUUGGAAACGAAUGCUAAUACCGCAUAACAACUUUAAACAUAAGUUUUAAGUUUGAAAGAUGCAAUUGCAUCACUCAAAGAUGAUCCCGCGUUGUGUUAGCUAGUUGGUGAGGUAAAGGCUCACCAAGGCGAUGAUACAUAGCCGACCUGAGAGGGUGAUCGGCCACAUUGGGACUGAGACACGGCCCAAACUGCUACAGGAGGCAGCAGUAGGGAAUCUUGGGCAAGGGACGAGAGGCUGACCGAGCAACGCCGCGUGAGUGAAGAAGGUUUUCGGGUCGUAAAACUCUGUUGGUAGAGAAGAACGUUGGUGAGAGUGGAAAGCUCAUCAAGUGACGGUAACUACCCAGAAAGGGACGGCUAACUACGUG